RNAcentral lists this unclassified non-coding RNA (324 nucleotides) under uncultured Glomeraceae. RNAcentral describes it as "sequence contains 18S rRNA gene". The record is from RNAcentral. Lineage: Eukaryota; Fungi; Glomeromycota; Glomeromycetes; Glomerales; Glomeraceae.
CCCAACUAUCCCUAUUAAUCAUUACGUCGAUCCUAGAAACCAACAAAAUAGGGUCAAACGUCCUAUUUCAUUAUUCCAUGCUAAUGUAUUCAAGCGUGAGCCUGCUUUAAACACUCUAUGUAACAGUCCUGAUUCCCCGCGACACCAAAUUAAUGACAUCACGGAUCUUCAGAAGGGAGAAACCAGUGACACCAGUGCAUACCAAAGGCAUGACCAGCGUACUGAUCCCGAAAUUCAACUACGAGCUUUUUAACUGCAACAACUUUAAUAUACGCUAUUGGAGCUGGAAUUACCGCGGCUGCUGGCACCAGACUUGCCCUCCAA